AGAACGAACGCUGGCGGCAUGCCUAAUACAUGCAAGUCGAACGAACUCUUCGGAGUUAGUGGCGCACGGGUGCGUAACGCGUGGGAAUCUGCCCUUGGGUUCGGAAUAACAGUUGGAAACGACUGCUAAUACCGGAUGAUGACGAAAGUCCAAAGAUUUAUCGCCCAGGGAUGAGCCCGCGUAGGAUUAGCUAGUUGGUGAGGUAAAGGCUCACCAAGGCGACGAUCCUUAGCUGGUCUGAGAGGAUGAUCAGCCACACUGGGACUGAGACACGGCCCAGACUCCUACGGGAGGCAGCAGUAGGGAAUAUUGGGACAAUGGGCGAAAGCCUGAU
This 334-nucleotide ribosomal RNA is filed under the name uncultured soil bacterium. Its description in RNAcentral is "bacterial SSU rRNA". It matches the Rfam family "Bacterial small subunit ribosomal RNA", at positions 26 to 387 of the family's 1533-position model. The record is from RNAcentral.